AUAAUUUGACUUGUAUCAAAGAUUUAUUGGAUGUAAAGUAAUUCACUAGUUAUUAGAGAUUAUAUUUAACACCUAUAUAAUCUGUAAUAGCUGGUGAAUUUUUUUAUUUUCAAGAGCACAAUAUUUUAAUGGAGGUACCACAAAAUGAACAAAGGUACAGUGAAAUGGUUUAACGCAGAAAAAGGUUACGGAUUUAUCACAGGAGAAGACGGAGCAGAUGUAUUUGUACAUUUCUCAGCUAUCCAGGGAGACGGCUUCAAAUCUCUUGAAGAAGGUCAGGCAGUUUCUUAUGAUUUAACAGAAGGCGCUCGCGGAAUGCAGGCAGCUAACGUUG
Molecule: small RNA, 334 nt
Filed under: Robinsoniella peoriensis
Lineage: Bacteria; Bacillati; Bacillota; Clostridia; Lachnospirales; Lachnospiraceae
Description: CspA
Source: RNAcentral